CAAGUACUCCCUCCGUCCGGAAUUACUUGUCAUCAAAAUGGAUGAAAAUGGAUGUAUCUAAAACUAAAAUACAUCUAGAUACAUCUAUUUGAAUGACAAGUAUUUCCGGACGGAGGGAGUACAGG
Triticum aestivum (bread wheat) is the source of this 125-nucleotide non-coding RNA. The record is from Rfam. NCBI's taxonomy places the organism in Eukaryota, Viridiplantae, Streptophyta, Magnoliopsida, Poales, Poaceae.